RNAcentral lists this unclassified non-coding RNA (388 nucleotides) under Hevea brasiliensis (rubber tree). Lineage: Eukaryota; Viridiplantae; Streptophyta; Magnoliopsida; Malpighiales; Euphorbiaceae. The record is from RNAcentral.
GAUCAAAUAUGAAGUUAUCAAGGUUCCUUUGCUAUAUUGAAGGAGGACAGGUGGAAGGCAUGCGAAAGCCAUGUAUUGGUUCUUUGGAUAAAAGCAAGCCAAAGGAGAUCAAAUGGGAAUCUUUUCCCCAUCGCCUAUUCUUUGCUCGUGAGCAUACAGCUACCUGGGGUCCGGGUGGGGUUGCUUUUCUUCACCCUGAAUGCAACAGUGAUGAAAAAGCUUACUUGUGCCUAUAUAGGAUAACGCUUGAGCAAUUUAAUGAUGUUUUACUUCAAGAGAAUACUUCAAGCUUUGACAUGAAUUACCCUUUGUUUGACAUGACUGACUUACAAUCUAUUGAAGAAAGAAAAUGUGUUCCAGUGGAGGCUGUCAAGAAUGGCUGGUACCA